AUGCAGACGGACGUCCAGGUCCAGUGCGCCGCCGAGUCCGACCAGCCUGCCGGCGCAACCACCGGCAAGAAGAAGCGGAUGCCCGCCCAGCACGUCAGUUACAUCCUGGCCAUGCCGACAGAGAAGCCCGAAGAAUUUGUCCUGCCUAACUUCCUCCGGGGCGACAGCAACAUGGCGGAGAAGAUGGGCGUGACGGAGGAGUGGCUCGAGGACAGAAGGCGGAUGUACAGGGAAUCCGCCGUCCGUACCCAGAGGGUCCACGACGACUUCGUGAAGUACCAGGCCCAGAUCCGCGACGAGCUGUUCGAGAAGGGCUACGUGGAGGUGGACGACGACUACUUCACCGACAGGGCUGAGAUCCAGGAAGAGACCAGGGCGAGGUGGGAAGAGUUGGAGAAGAAGCUAGACCCCAAUAUCAAAUUCGUGAACUACGGCAGCGACUCCCAUGUUCCGUAUGACUACGAGGAGCAGGCGAGGCGCCUGGUCGAUCUCUGA
RNAcentral lists this ribosomal RNA (495 nucleotides) under Triticum aestivum (bread wheat). RNAcentral describes it as "partial small subunit ribosomal RNA". Lineage: Eukaryota; Viridiplantae; Streptophyta; Magnoliopsida; Poales; Poaceae. The record is from RNAcentral.